Molecule: non-coding RNA, 223 nt
Organism: Cinara cedri
Lineage: Eukaryota; Metazoa; Arthropoda; Insecta; Hemiptera; Aphididae
Source: the annotation of a GenBank genome assembly
UAAAAGCGACCAUGUACAAAACACCUGCAAUGUUCUGUGGUUUCCCCAUCCCCUCAUUGAGAACGCCUAGAUACGCCACUGAAUCAGAAUCUAAAAAAUUUGACACCUCCAAUAAAUGUAUAUUCUUUAAUAUCUUCCUUCAUGGAAAUCGAAUAAGUAAACGUAUUCACCACCUAACCGCCAUCGAUAUAAAUAUUACAUUGUCCAGUGUCAAACAACUCCA